GGGUGGAACCUUCUACACCACCACCCGCCCCACCCUGGCCUCUGUGUCGGGCACAGUCCUUCACCGCAUCGCGUCCGGCGCCCAGUACUGUCCCAGGGAUGAUAGGGGCAACUACGUCAUCGACAGGGACGGUCACGUGUUCAGAUAUGUUUUGAAUUUCCUCCGGACUUCCAAACUGACCACCCCUCAGGGAUACCGAGAGCUGGACCUUUUGAGGGAGGAAGGGCUGUAUUACGGGCUCGACAGACUGGUGCGUCCAUUUCCGAUUGGUUGUAAAUAAAGACCACACUGGAAGAAAGAUUCAGGAU
Aplysia californica (California sea hare) is the source of this 308-nucleotide long non-coding RNA. RefSeq lists it as uncharacterized. The transcript has 2 exons. NCBI's taxonomy places the organism in Eukaryota, Metazoa, Mollusca, Gastropoda, Aplysiida, Aplysiidae. The record is from RefSeq and is a predicted model, not a curated record.